CCAAAAACGGUCACUCUUCUGUUGCCAGAAAUACGCACAUACCCACCUGUGUAAAAUCACACUAUAGUUCAAAACUAAUAAUCAGACAGGAUUUUGUGAAAUGUUUGUGGAAUAGAAAAUUAUUCGCCAUGGAAGAGAGUACGUGAAGCAAACGGAAUGGGCAAGUCUUGUCCGAUAAGACCUUGACUUAAAACUACACAUAUUGCAUAGUUGGAUGCAUCGGUGGUGAGCACAAAUGGUUUCUCGAAGUUUGGGUACUGCAACAAGUGUUCAGUACAUAUUGUAUCGCGCAGGACUUCAAAAGCUUCCUGAGUUUCAGGUUUCCAAAUGAAUUCGGCGUCAUCUUUAAGAAGUAAGAUUUUUCUUCCCUUUAGGAACAGGAAACUUUUUCACAGAGUCCGUCUUCCUGGGAUCUGGUCUUACUCCAUCCUGAGGUUUCACAUGUCCCAAAUAAGCGAUUUCUCGUUUAAGGAAAUGGCAUUUCUCCGGUUGUAGCGCCAGCCCAGCUGAUUUCAAUCGACCAAGGAGAGAUGUUAAUUUUUGAU
Molecule: long non-coding RNA, 545 nt
Organism: Belonocnema kinseyi
Lineage: Eukaryota; Metazoa; Arthropoda; Insecta; Hymenoptera; Cynipidae
Exons: 3
Source: RefSeq, a predicted model, not a curated record